RNAcentral lists this ribosomal RNA (484 nucleotides) under uncultured bacterium. Its description in RNAcentral is "partial 16S ribosomal RNA". It matches the Rfam family "Bacterial small subunit ribosomal RNA", at positions 30 to 507 of the family's 1533-position model. The record is from RNAcentral.
AUUGAACGCUGGCGGCAGGCCUAACACAUGCAAGUCGAGCGGAUGAAGGGAGCUUGCUCCUGGAUUCAGCGGCGGACGGGUGAGUAAUGCCUAGUAAUCUGCCUGGUAGUGGGGGAUAACGUCCGGAAACGGGCGCUAAUACCGCAUACGUCCUGAGGGAGAAAGUGGGGGAUCUUCGGACCUCACGCUAUCAGAUGAGCCUAGGUCGGAUUAGCUAGUUGGUGGGGUAAAGGCCUACCAAGGCGACGAUCCGUAACUGGUCUGAGAGGAUGAUCAGUCACACUGGCACUGAGACACGGUCCAGACUCCUACGGGGGGAAGCAGUGGGGAAUUUUGGACAAUGGGCGAAAGCCUGAUCCAGCCAUGCCGAGUGUGUGAAGAAGGUCUUCGGAUUGUAAAGCACUUUAAGUUGGGAGGAAGGGCAGUAAGUUAAUACCUUGCUGUUUUGACGUUACCAACAGAAUAAGCACCGGCUAACUUCGUG